AUCCAGAUGACGGGUCCUAAAUGGGACGAAACGCACGUCCUGGAU
RNAcentral lists this non-coding RNA (45 nucleotides) under Schistosoma margrebowiei. The record is from RNAcentral. Lineage: Eukaryota; Metazoa; Platyhelminthes; Trematoda; Strigeidida; Schistosomatidae.